UAUGGGCUAAACCUCUCAAAUACUCAAUAAUAUUACGGUCCCUGAAAUGUUGAACUAAAUUUAAAAUGCGGUCUGAUGCUUCGACAUAUUUUUUUUUUGAUGGUGGUGGUUCAUGGCCUCCAACAAGAAACUCAUAAUACAGAUCUCUUUCUGCCUGAACUUUUUUCAAUUCAAUUAUAAACUGCCAGAUCGUCGGAUGAUUCAUGCUGAGCUGUGCUUGCAGUCGCCGAUGAGAAGCUUCUGCUACGUUGUUUGUUUUCUAUUUUAAACAAAACCAAUUCAAUUAAGACUCUAUUGUACAAGUUCCAUGUCUCAAUCGGAAAUGCUGGUACCCUCCUCAAGCCUUCUCUUCUCAAUAUUCCGAUAUAAUACAUUUCCAGCCAAUCUAAAAUUGGUUGUAAUGUAGGCUCUACCCGUUCCAACUCUUCACUUAAUAUUUCAAAGCUUUCAACAACGUUUAUGGGAGGAACAAACGCCAAGGCAGUUAUCAUACCUUACGCCAUCAAUCCCGCAGUUCCAAUUUGUUUCUUCAAAUUCUGAAGAAGAUGGAAAAAACACCCACGAAUUUCUACUUCAGGAAAUUCGUUCCUAAACGCGUUGUGGAUCGCUAGUUCAAAGUCCACAGAGACACUUCCUACGUUGAUGCCUGGCGAUAAAUUUUUUAUUUGUACAAGCAAAUUAUUGUAUGUUGCUUGACUUUUAUUGGGCAAUAUGGCAUAAACACAUGGAUGUACACCUCCAUUUCGACAUCCUAAUAUUACGAACACUUGAGAAAAUAGUAUGGGAGCUAUUUUGAAAGUCCCAUCUACAAACCAUUGUUCAGAUGUUGAUAAUAUCUAAAAUGAAUCCAAAAAUUAGAAAUUCUUAAAAAUGAAUUGGUUUUAUUAUUAAGACGGAGAUAAUACUAUCAAAAUGAUUUAAGAACAUACUUCUAAACCUCUUUGACGACCGAAUAAAAGAAUUCUAUUAUUCUCAGGGCCAGUAUCACAUAAUAAAAAAUUCUCAAAUACUCCUGGUUCGACUUCAUACUCCUUAAAACUGUCAGGGAUAUCUAAUUCAAAUAAUGUUAAAGGGGCAACAGGAAUUUGUGGCCCAUUUUGACGUCUUACCCGUCGCACAGUUUUUUUUAGUGUGUUUAUAGAUGAUAAGGCUCCUUUACCAGCAACAGAUAACCCAUCUAAACAAAUUAAUACAUUAUAGUUUAAGUCAUAAUACAUACAAAUAUGCAAUAUACAUGCAAAUAUAUUUAUAAUAUUUAUAUUAAAUUAAUUUUACUUAA
Molecule: long non-coding RNA, 1279 nt
Organism: Metopolophium dirhodum (rose-grain aphid)
Lineage: Eukaryota; Metazoa; Arthropoda; Insecta; Hemiptera; Aphididae
Exons: 3
Source: RefSeq, a predicted model, not a curated record